Molecule: ribosomal RNA, 253 nt
Filed under: uncultured bacterium
Lineage: Bacteria
Description: partial 16S ribosomal RNA
Rfam family: Bacterial small subunit ribosomal RNA
Source: RNAcentral
UACGGGGGGGGUAAGCGUUGUUCGGAAUUACUGGGCGUAAAGGGCUCGUAGGCGGCCAACUAAGUCAUACGUGAAAUCCCUCAGCUUAACUGGGGAACUGCGUCGGAUACUGGAUGGCUUGAAUUCGGGAGAGGGAUGCAGAAUUCCAGGUGUAGCGGUGAAAUGCGUAGAUAUCUGGAGGAAUACCGGUGGCGAAGGCGGCAUCCUGGACCGACAUUGACGCUGAUGAGCGAAAGCUAGGGGAGCAAACGGG